AUGGCGCCCGCCAAGUGGCUGAUGCACUGGCACCCGAACCCUGGGGUGACGCUCAACACCCAGAUCCUGUCGGAGGCCUGCGGCUGCGCGGAGUCCCUCGGCGGCACCAAGGACGGCCGCUGGAAGACCUCCAUCAUCUUCUACCGCCCGAUGACGCGGGACGGCCCGGGCGGGGCGCAGCAGAACCUGCCCCCCGACGUGCCCCGCGAGCUCCUCGGCGUCGCGCUCCACGAGCGCCCCGGGCUCUACUUCUCCAUCCUCCGGAACCAGCGCCUCGUCCUGCAGGCGGACGCCGCCUUCUCCCAGGUCAUGGAGAAGCUCCAGUCCUUCAAGGCCCGCGUCAACCUCAACUUCGAGGGAUUCCAGUAUCAACUGGGCGAUUUUUGCUUGAGGAUAGGAAAAUGUGUUCCUAACAAUACUGAAACCCUAAGAGGAAUCAUGAUGGAGGUAGAGUAUUACCCCCUGUCUUCCAUCGAAAAGUCCAGGGCAAUUAUGGUAGACUUCUUUGACAUAUGGCAGGAAACACUCGCAAAGAAGUCGCUCCCUGGUCGAUUCAUCCAUGUAGAAUCUAAUUUUGCAGAGUAUGGCCUUUCAGACCACUACUCUUUCCAGCACACGGCAGUUCAGUACGCUACUUGCUUGCAACAACUCAUGGCAGCUGUGAGGGCUUAG
This 672-nucleotide ribosomal RNA is filed under the name Triticum aestivum (bread wheat). RNAcentral describes it as "partial small subunit ribosomal RNA". Lineage: Eukaryota; Viridiplantae; Streptophyta; Magnoliopsida; Poales; Poaceae. The record is from RNAcentral.